RNAcentral lists this transfer RNA (76 nucleotides) under Chloroflexi bacterium HGW-Chloroflexi-2. RNAcentral describes it as "tRNA-Arg". It matches the Rfam family "tRNA". Rfam says of the family: Transfer RNA (tRNA) molecules are approximately 80 nucleotides in length. Their secondary structure includes four short double-helical elements and three loops (D, anti-codon, and T loops). The record is from RNAcentral. Lineage: Bacteria; Bacillati; Chloroflexota.
GCCCCUGUAGCUCAAUGGACAGAGCACCAGCCUUCUAAGCUGUUGGUUGAGGGUUCGAAUCCCCCCAGGGGCGCUA